This 460-nucleotide ribosomal RNA is filed under the name uncultured bacterium. RNAcentral describes it as "partial 16S ribosomal RNA". It matches the Rfam family "Bacterial small subunit ribosomal RNA", at positions 338 to 795 of the family's 1533-position model. The record is from RNAcentral.
CCUACGGGUGGCAGCAGUGAGGAAUAUUGGUCAAUGGACGAGAGUCUGAACCAGCCAAGUAGCGUGAAGGAUGAAUGCCCUAUGGGUUGUAAGCUUCUUUUAUAUGGGAAUAAAACGUUCCACGUGUGGGCUUUUGUAUGUACCAUAUGAAUAAGGAUCGGCUAACUCCGUGCCAGCAGCAGCGGUAAUACGGAGGAUCCGAGCGUUAUCCGGAUUUAUUGGGUUUAAAGGGAGCGUAGGUGGAUUGUUAAGUCAGUUGGGAAAGUUUGCGGCUCAACCGUAAAAUGGAAGUUGAAACUGGCAGUCGUGAGUACAGUAGAGGUGGGCGGAAUUCGUGGUGUAGCGGUGAAAUGCUUAGAUAUCACGAAGAACUCCGAUUGCGAAGGCAGUUCACUGGACUGCAACUGACACUGAGGCUCGAAAGUGUGGGUAUCAAACAGGAUUAGAUACCCGGGUAGUC